Molecule: ribosomal RNA, 202 nt
Filed under: uncultured bacterium
Lineage: Bacteria
Description: partial 16S ribosomal RNA
Rfam family: Bacterial small subunit ribosomal RNA
Source: RNAcentral
UUGAAGGCUGAAAUUCGCCUUCAUGAAGCUGGAAUUGCUAGUAAUGGCAGGUCAGCAUACUGCCGUGAAUACGUUCCCGGGCCUUGUACACACCGCCCGUCACACCAUGAGAGUUGGAAAUACCCGAAGCCUGUGAGCUAACUUAAAGAGGCAGCAGUCGGAGGUAGAGCCAAUGAUUGGGGUGAAGUCGUAACAAGGUACC